This 1400-nucleotide ribosomal RNA is filed under the name Enterococcus durans. RNAcentral describes it as "bacterial SSU rRNA". It matches the Rfam family "Bacterial small subunit ribosomal RNA", at positions 60 to 1433 of the family's 1533-position model. The record is from RNAcentral. Lineage: Bacteria; Bacillati; Bacillota; Bacilli; Lactobacillales; Enterococcaceae.
AGUCGUACGCUUCUUUUUCACCGGAGCUUGCUCCACCGGAAAAAGAAGAGUGGCGAACGGGUGAGUAACACGUGGGUAACCUGCCCAUCAGAAGGGGAUAACACUUGGAAACAGGUGCUAAUACCGUAUAACAAUCGAAACCGCAUGGUUUUGAUUUGAAAGGCGCUUUCGGGUGUCGCUGAUGGAUGGACCCGCGGUGCAUUAGCUAGUUGGUGAGGUAACGGCUCACCAAGGCCACGAUGCAUAGCCGACCUGAGAGGGUGAUCGGCCACAUUGGGACUGAGACACGGCCCAAACUCCUACGGGAGGCAGCAGUAGGGAAUCUUCGGCAAUGGACGAAAGUCUGACCGAGCAACGCCGCGUGAGUGAAGAAGGUUUUCGGAUCGUAAAACUCUGUUGUUAGAGAAGAACAAGGAUGAGAGUAACUGUUCAUCCCUUGACGGUAUCUAACCAGAAAGCCACGGCUAACUACGUGCCAGCAGCCGCGGUAAUACGUAGGUGGCAAGCGUUGUCCGGAUUUAUUGGGCGUAAAGCGAGCGCAGGCGGUUUCUUAAGUCUGAUGUGAAAGCCCCCGGCUCAACCGGGGAGGGUCAUUGGAAACUGGGAGACUUGAGUGCAGAAGAGGAGAGUGGAAUUCCAUGUGUAGCGGUGAAAUGCGUAGAUAUAUGGAGGAACACCAGUGGCGAAGGCGGCUCUCUGGUCUGUAACUGACGCUGAGGCUCGAAAGCGUGGGGAGCAAACAGGAUUAGAUACCCUGGUAGUCCACGCCGUAAACGAUGAGUGCUAAGUGUUGGAGGGUUUCCGCCCUUCAGUGCUGCAGCUAACGCAUUAAGCACUCCGCCUGGGGAGUACGACCGCAAGGUUGAAACUCAAAGGAAUUGACGGGGGCCCGCACAAGCGGUGGAGCAUGUGGUUUAAUUCGAAGCAACGCGAAGAACCUUACCAGGUCUUGACAUCCUUUGACCACUCUAGAGAUAGAGCUUCCCCUUCGGGGGCAAAGUGACAGGUGGUGCAUGGUUGUCGUCAGCUCGUGUCGUGAGAUGUUGGGUUAAGUCCCGCAACGAGCGCAACCCUUAUUGUUAGUUGCCAUCAUUUAGUUGGGCACUCUAGCAAGACUGCCGGUGACAAACCGGAGGAAGGUGGGGAUGACGUCAAAUCAUCAUGCCCCUUAUGACCUGGGCUACACACGUGCUACAAUGGGAAGUACAACGAGUCGCGAAGUCGCGAGGCUAAGCUAAUCUCUUAAAGCUUCUCUCAGUUCGGAUUGUAGGCUGCAACUCGCCUACAUGAAGCCGGAAUCGCUAGUAAUCGCGGAUCAGCACGCCGCGGUGAAUACGUUCCCGGGCCUUGUACACACCGCCCGUCACACCACGAGAGUUUGUAACACCCGAAGUCGGUGA